CCAGACUCCUACGGGAGGCAGCAGUGGGGAAUUUUGCGCAAUGGGGGAAACCCUGACGCAGCAACGCCGCGUGCGGGACGAAGGCCCUCGGGUCGUAAACCGCUUUCAGCAGGGAAGACCACGACGGUACCUGCAGAAGAAGCUCCGGCUAACUACGUGCCAGCAGCCGCGGUAAUACGUAGGUGGCAAGCGUUGUCCGGAUUUACUGGGUGUAAAGGGCGUGUAGCCGGGAAGGCAAGUCAGAUGUGAAAUCUGGAGGCUCAACCUCCAAAUUGCAUUUGAAACUGUUUUUCUUGAGUACUGGAGAGGCAGACGGAAUUCCUUGUGUAGCGGUGAAAUGCGUAGAUAUAAGGAGGAACACCAGUGGCGAAGGCGGUCUGCUGGACAGCAACUGACGGUGAGGCGCGAAAGCGUGGGGAGCAAACAGGAUUAGAUACCCUUGUAC
This 445-nucleotide ribosomal RNA is filed under the name uncultured bacterium. RNAcentral's name for it is "partial 16S ribosomal RNA". It matches the Rfam family "Bacterial small subunit ribosomal RNA", at positions 331 to 793 of the family's 1533-position model. The record is from RNAcentral.